CCCCUGCGUGCCGCAGCUAACGCAAUAAGUAUCCCACCUGGGGAGUACGAUCGCAAGGUUGAAACUCAAAGGAAUUGACGGGGGCCCGCACAAGCGGUGGAUUAUGUGGUUUAAUUCGAUGCAACGCGAAGAACCUUACCAGGGCUUGACAUCCUACUAACGAAGUAGAGAUACAUUAGGUACCCUUCGGGGGAAGUAGAGACAGGUGGUGCAUGGUUGUCGUCAGCUCGUGUCGUGAGAUGUUGGGUUAAGUCCCGCAACGAGCGCAACCCUUAUUGUUAGUUGCUACGCAAGAGCACUCUAGCGAGACUGCCGUUGACAAAACGGAGGAAGGUGGGGACGACGUCAAAUCAUCAUGCCCCUUAUGUCCUGGGCUACACACGUAAUACAAUGGCGGUAAACAGAGGGAUGCAAAGCUGUGAAGUGGAGCGAACCCCUAAAAGCCGUCCCAGUUCAGAUUGCAGUCUGCAACUCGACUGCAUGAAGUCGGAAUCGCUAGUAAUCGCGGAUCAGCAUGCCGCGGUGAAUAC
RNAcentral lists this ribosomal RNA (530 nucleotides) under uncultured bacterium. Its description in RNAcentral is "bacterial SSU rRNA". It matches the Rfam family "Bacterial small subunit ribosomal RNA", at positions 836 to 1369 of the family's 1533-position model. The record is from RNAcentral.